UUACGGCCAUAUAACGUUGAACCACCGGCUCUCGUACGAUUACCGAAGUUAAGCAACGUCGAGCCUGGUCAUUAUCUAGAUGAGUGACUGCUUGGUAAUACCAGGUGCUGUAA
Acanthosepion pharaonis is the source of this 113-nucleotide non-coding RNA. The record is from the annotation of a GenBank genome assembly. NCBI's taxonomy places the organism in Eukaryota, Metazoa, Mollusca, Cephalopoda, Sepiida, Sepiidae.